Molecule: non-coding RNA, 21 nt
Filed under: Caenorhabditis elegans
Lineage: Eukaryota; Metazoa; Nematoda; Chromadorea; Rhabditida; Rhabditidae
Source: RNAcentral
UACUCCAGUCUUCUACUUCAA